This 483-nucleotide ribosomal RNA is filed under the name uncultured bacterium. RNAcentral's name for it is "partial 16S ribosomal RNA". It matches the Rfam family "Bacterial small subunit ribosomal RNA", at positions 30 to 506 of the family's 1533-position model. The record is from RNAcentral.
AUUGAACGCUGGCGGCAGGCCUAACACAUGCAAGUCGAGCGGAUGAAGGGAGCUUGCUCCUGGAUUCAGCGGCGGACGGGUGAGUAAUGCCUAGGAAUCUGCCUGGUAGUGGGGGAUAGCGUCCGGAAACGGGCGCUAAUACCGCAUACGUCCUGAGGGAGAAAGUGGGGGAUCUUCGGACCUCACGCUAUCAGAUGAGCCUAGGUCGGAUUAGCUAGUUGGUGGGGUAAAGGCCUACCAAGGCGACGAUCCGUAACUGGUCUGAGAGGAUGAUCAGUCACACUGGAACUGAGACACGGUCCAGACGCCUACGGGAGGCAGCAGUGGGGAAUAUUGGACAAUGGGCGAAAGCCUGAUCCAGCCAUGCCGCGUGUGUGAAGAAGGUCUUCGGAUUGUAAAGCACUUUAAGUUGGGAGGAAGGGCAGUAAGUUAAUACCUUGCUGUUUUGACGUUACCAACAGAAUAAGCACCGGCUAACUUCGU